GUCUGCAACCCGACUCCGUGAAGCUGGAUUCGCUAGUAAUCGCGCAUCAGCCAUGGCGCGGUGAAUACGUUCCCGGGCCUUGUACACACCGCCCGUCAAGCCAUGGGAGCCGGGAGCGCUUGAAGUGCGUCGCCGCGAGGCGCGCCCUAGAGCGAGACCGGUGACUGGGGCUAAGUCGUAACAAGGUACC
RNAcentral lists this ribosomal RNA (190 nucleotides) under uncultured bacterium. RNAcentral describes it as "partial 16S ribosomal RNA". It matches the Rfam family "Bacterial small subunit ribosomal RNA", at positions 1303 to 1500 of the family's 1533-position model. The record is from RNAcentral.